CAGCUAGGACGAGUCAGAACGAUAUCAACCCCAGUGCACAUAUAUAUCUGUCAAUUCGAGUAGAGAGAACACAGUGGAACGAGUUGAAAUGUAGUUCAUUUUAAAAGAAAGCGAAUUGAACAAUCGUUAACAAUUCACUGGAACCACUGAUUUUUUUUUUUUUUUUGUGAUUUGGAUUAUUCUGUUCCUUCUGCAGUAUUCGGUGGGCUGCAGACGCCCCUAAAGAGCUUUUCAAUAAUGUAUAAAGUUAAAAGGUGGAACGAUUUGAACCGCGGAUAACAUGAAGAACAGUAACAAGGAAUCAUCAAUGGGUAUCCCGGAAUGAGAUGCACCGUUUAGGCCGGUGUUGAGUUCGUCAUCGAUCGUUCGCUUGGUGCAAAAAAAAUAUUUGAAAGAAAGCUGUGCGGAGGUGUUGAGUGUGGCCGAGCGAAGCUUUUCCGAGGGCAGCAGCCAUCAGGAUAACGGGAUGUCGUCGAGGAAUAUUCGAGGUCGCCAAGCUGGCUCCACCGUUCAAGUUUUCCUUUUGAUCUGCUCGAUCUUCGGCGGCUCGGGAAUUGGACGAGUCCUGAGCUCGGAAGUCACGACUGACACGCCAGCGAAUAAAGGAGCAGCUCGACAGAUGUAUGGUAGUGGGAGUUUGCGGCAGACCGGAAGCGGGCCCAUCGUCCUGGGGACGACAGAUUCACCGUUUUA
Long non-coding RNA from Diprion similis, 693 nucleotides. RefSeq lists it as uncharacterized. The transcript is spliced from 3 exons. Lineage: Eukaryota; Metazoa; Arthropoda; Insecta; Hymenoptera; Diprionidae. The record is from RefSeq and is a predicted model, not a curated record.